CGUGGGUAACCUGCCUUAUAUGGGGGAUAGCCUUUCGAAAGGAAGAUUAAUACCGCAUAAGAUUGUAGUAUCGCAUGAUAUAGCAAUUAAAGGAGCAAUUCGCUAUAAGAUGGACCCGCGUCGCAUUAGCUAGUUGGUGAGGUAAUGGCUCACCAAGGCGACGAUGCGUAGCCGACCUGAGAGGGUGAUCGGCCACAUUGGGACUGAGACACGGCCCAGACUCCUACGGGAGGCAGCAUG
This 240-nucleotide ribosomal RNA is filed under the name uncultured bacterium. RNAcentral's name for it is "partial 16S ribosomal RNA". It matches the Rfam family "Bacterial small subunit ribosomal RNA", at positions 116 to 353 of the family's 1533-position model. The record is from RNAcentral.